Molecule: transfer-messenger RNA, 85 nt
Filed under: Flavobacteriaceae bacterium
Lineage: Bacteria; Pseudomonadati; Bacteroidota; Flavobacteriia; Flavobacteriales; Flavobacteriaceae
Description: partial transfer-messenger RNA
Rfam family: transfer-messenger RNA
About the family: Bacterial tmRNA, also known as 10Sa RNA or SsrA, is named for its dual tRNA and mRNA-like properties. Its role is to liberate the mRNA from a stalled ribosome.
Source: RNAcentral
CUAGGGCCAGAUCUAGACUAACCUUGUGAACGACGAAUUAUUUGAGAUGCUUUGGACGCGGGUUCGACUCCCGCCACCUCCACCA